RNAcentral lists this transfer RNA (73 nucleotides) under Enterococcus avium. RNAcentral's name for it is "tRNA-Ile". It matches the Rfam family "tRNA". From Rfam's summary of the family: Transfer RNA (tRNA) molecules are approximately 80 nucleotides in length. Their secondary structure includes four short double-helical elements and three loops (D, anti-codon, and T loops). RNAcentral also lists the same sequence under 1 other name. The record is from RNAcentral. Lineage: Bacteria; Bacillati; Bacillota; Bacilli; Lactobacillales; Enterococcaceae.
GUACCUUUAGCUCAGUUGGUAGAGCAGACGGCUCAUAACCGUCCGGUCGUAGGUUCGAGUCCUACAGGGUACA